AAGUCGUAACAAGGUUUCCGUAGGUGAACCUGCGGAAGGAUCAUUACCGAGAGUUGCAGGCUUUUGUCUGCCAUCUCUUACCCAUGUCUUUUGCGUACUACACGUUUCCUCGGCAGGUCCGCCUGCCGUUAGGACCCCAUUAAACCAUUUGCAGUUGUAGUCAGCGUCUGAAAAACUUAAUAAUUACAACUUUUAACAACGGAUCUCUUGGUUCUGGCAUCGAUGAAGAACGCAGCGAAAUGCGAUAAGUAGUGUGAAUUGCAGAAUUCAGUGAAUCAUCGAAUCUUUGAACGCACAUUGCGCCCUAUGGUAUUCCAUAGGGCAUGCCUGUUCGAGCGUCAUUUGUACCUUCAAGCUCUGCUUGGUGUUGGGUGUUUGUCCCGCCUUUGUGCGCGGACUCGCCUUAAAGCAAUUGGCAGCCGACGUCUAGGUUUCGGAGCGCAGCACAAAUCGCGCUCUGUGUCCUGGUACGGCGGCGUCCAUCAAGACUAUUUUACACUCUUGACCUCGGAUCAGGUAGGGAUACCCGCUGAACUUAAGCAUAUCAAUAAGCGGAGGAAAAGAAACCAACAGGGAUUGCCCUAGUAACGGCGAGUGAAGCGGCAACAGCUCAAAUUUGAAAUCUGGCGUCUUUGGCGUCCGAGUUGUAAUUUGCAGAGGGCGCUUUGGCGUUGGCAGCAGUCUAAGUUCCUUGGAACAGGACGUCACAGAGGGUGAGAAUCCCGUACGUGGUUGCUGGCCUUCGCCGUGUAAAGCCCCUUCGAC
This 765-nucleotide small RNA is filed under the name uncultured Didymella. RNAcentral's name for it is "eukaryotic LSU rRNA". The stretch from base 503 to 765 matches the Rfam family "Eukaryotic large subunit ribosomal RNA", at positions 1 to 261 of the family's 3401-position model. Lineage: Eukaryota; Fungi; Ascomycota; Dothideomycetes; Pleosporales; Didymellaceae. The record is from RNAcentral.